UGCCAGCAGCCGCGGUAAUACGGAGGGGGUUAGCGUUGUUCGGAAUUACUGGGCGUAAAGCGCACGUAGGCGGAUCAGAAAGUAUAGGGUGAAAUCCCAGGGCUCAACCCUGGAACUGCCUCCAAAACUGUUAGACUAGAAUUCAAGAGAGGUAGGCGGAACUUCCAGUGUAGAGGUGAAAUUCGUAGAUAUUGGAAAGAACACCAGUGGCGAAGGCGGCUUACUGGCUUGAUAUUGACGCUGAGGUGCGAAAGCGUGGGGAGCAAACAGGAUUAGCUA
RNAcentral lists this ribosomal RNA (279 nucleotides) under uncultured bacterium. Its description in RNAcentral is "partial 16S ribosomal RNA". It matches the Rfam family "Bacterial small subunit ribosomal RNA", at positions 506 to 784 of the family's 1533-position model. The record is from RNAcentral.